UACGAAGGGGGCUAGCGUUGCCCGGAUUUAUUGGGCGUAAAGGGCGCGUAGGCGGCUUGGCAAGUGGAUGGUGAAAUCCCUCGGCUUAACCGAGGAACUGCCGUCCAAACUGCUUCGCUUGAGACCGGGAGAGGUGAGUGGAAUUCCCAGUGUAGCGGUGAAAUGCGUAGAUAUUGGGAGGAACACCAGUGGCGAAGGCGGCUCACUGGACCGGUACUGACGCUGAGGCGCGAAAGCGUGGGGAGCAAACGGG
Molecule: ribosomal RNA, 253 nt
Filed under: uncultured bacterium
Lineage: Bacteria
Description: partial 16S ribosomal RNA
Rfam family: Bacterial small subunit ribosomal RNA
Source: RNAcentral